RNAcentral lists this ribosomal RNA (429 nucleotides) under Bacillota bacterium. RNAcentral's name for it is "Firmicutes bacterium partial 16S ribosomal RNA". It matches the Rfam family "Bacterial small subunit ribosomal RNA", at positions 355 to 776 of the family's 1533-position model. Lineage: Bacteria; Bacillati; Bacillota. The record is from RNAcentral.
UGGGGAAUUUUGGACAAUGGGGGCAACCCUGAUCCAGCCAUGCCGCGUGCGGGAAGAAGGCCUUCGGGUUGUAAACCGCUUUUAGCCGGGACGAAAGCGCCACGGAUAACACCCGUGGUGGUUGACGGUACCGGCGGAAUAAGCACCGGCUAACUACGUGCCAGCAGCCGCGGUAAUACGUAGGGUGCGAGCGUUAAUCGGAAUUACUGGGCGUAAAGCGUGCGCAGGCGGUUCGUUGUGUCGGCGGUGAAAGCCCCGGGCUCAACCUGGGAAUGGCCGUUGAAACUGGCGAACUGGAGUGUGGCAGAGGGGGGUGGAAUUCCGCGUGUAGCAGUGAAAUGCGUAGAGAUGCGGAGGAACACCGAUGGCGAAGGCAGCCCCCUGGGCUGACACUGACGCUCAGGCACGAAAGCGUGGGGAGCAAACAGG